Long non-coding RNA from Sipha flava (yellow sugarcane aphid), 751 nucleotides. RefSeq lists it as uncharacterized. The transcript is spliced from 3 exons. The record is from RefSeq and is a predicted model, not a curated record. NCBI's taxonomy places the organism in Eukaryota, Metazoa, Arthropoda, Insecta, Hemiptera, Aphididae.
UCAUAGAUCCCUGGUUUUUUCCUACGACAAUCCAUUCGUAAAACAUUGAAGGCUAUCUUACAAAUUUAAGAGUUAUUUUAAUUGUAAACUAAGUAUUUACUUCGUCAAAACGAAAUUGAACUUAUUUUCAACAUGAAUCUUUCGAAAAAAUCUGGACGUGGUGUUCUCAAACAAACUUUGAAUCCACCGUUCGUGUUUACACCUUCCUAGUGAACGAUUAAGAGGUGAAUACAGGAUGUAUGGGAAAACGAAACAUAUGCAUUAACAGGCUUGUUAAAGGAAAACUAAUUAAGUUAGUAGUAUAUUAACCUGUUAUGCAGUCACAUGGUACAUUGUUUAAUUGAAUUAUUAAAUAUACCUUGGUAUGGAUUUGAAGUUUGUGCAUUACUCACAACAUGUCGUCACAUAACUGUUGGGCUGUUGGUUUCAGUAUCAAUACAGAAAAGAGAUUUAUGAUGUAAUGAUUGAUUGGACUACCGAAUUAGUACUUUAUCUAAUAAAGUCUAAGCUGGAUCCUUUGGAAUUUUUAAUAUAUAUUAAGCAGCCACCUAUCAUUAAUAAGGGAGAAAUAAUAUGGCAGAUGAACAGUCUAUGCAAAAUUACCUAAGUGAAUGUGAACUGAUUAGUACUCCUUAUUUUAUCAUACAUUUACACUCAUUAAGUUUAAAACAUGACAUUAUAUACAAUUGUAAAUUCUCAAGAGAUCCAAUAUCACUUUUAUAACAUAUUUAUUAUAGUUAUGAAAACAAUA